UACGGAGGAUCCAAGCGUUAUCCGGAUUUAUUGGGUUUAAAGGGUGCGUAGGCGGCCUGUUAAGUCAGGGGUGAAAGACGGUAGCUCAACUAUCGCAGUGCCCUUGAUACUGAUGGGCUUGAAUACACUAGAGGUAGGCGGAAUGUGACAAGUAGCGGUGAAAUGCAUAGAUAUGUCACAGAACACCGAUUGCGAAGGCAGCUUACUAUGGUGCCAUUGACGCUGAGGCACGAAAGCGUGGGGAUCAAACAGG
This 253-nucleotide ribosomal RNA is filed under the name uncultured bacterium. Its description in RNAcentral is "partial 16S ribosomal RNA". It matches the Rfam family "Bacterial small subunit ribosomal RNA", at positions 524 to 776 of the family's 1533-position model. The record is from RNAcentral.